Pipistrellus kuhlii (Kuhl's pipistrelle) is the source of this 122-nucleotide long non-coding RNA. RefSeq lists it as uncharacterized. NCBI's taxonomy places the organism in Eukaryota, Metazoa, Chordata, Mammalia, Chiroptera, Vespertilionidae. The transcript is spliced from 4 exons. The record is from RefSeq and is a predicted model, not a curated record.
GGAAUGGGGUACACGGAACCUUGGUUCUGGAACAUUGUUCCAGAAGGCUGUUCGAAAACCGGAUCAUUUUUUCCCAUUAGAAGUAAUGUAAAUUGAAUUAAUCCAUUCCAGACUCCCAAAAG